UGGGGAAUUUUGGACAAUGGGGGAAACCCUGAUCCAGCCAUGCCGCGUGAGGGAUGAAGGCCUUCGGGUUGUAAACCUCUUUCAGACGGAACGAAACGGUUCAGGUUAAUAGUCUGAAUUAAUGACGGUACCGUAAGAAGAAGCACCGGCUAACUACGUGCCAGCAGCCGCGGUAAUACGUAGGGUGCGAGCGUUAAUCGGAAUUACUGGGCGUAAAGCGUGCGUAGGCGGCUUCGCAAGUCAGGUGUGAAAGCCCUGGGCUCAACCUAGGAAUUGCGCUUGAAACUACGGAGCUAGAGUUUGGCAGAGGGGGGUGGAAUUCCACGUGUAGCAGUGAAAUGCGUAGAUAUGUGGAGGAACACCGAUGGCGAAGGCAGCCCCCUGGGCCAAAACUGACGCUCAGGCACGAAAGCGUGGGGAGCAAACAGGAUUAGAUACCCCUGUAGUCCCUGAGCGGGCUGGCAAGGCGCAU
RNAcentral lists this ribosomal RNA (472 nucleotides) under uncultured bacterium. Its description in RNAcentral is "bacterial SSU rRNA". It matches the Rfam family "Bacterial small subunit ribosomal RNA", at positions 355 to 825 of the family's 1533-position model. The record is from RNAcentral.